AUCCAGCCAUGCCGCGUGUGUGAAGAAGGUCUUCGGAUUGUAAAGCACUUUAAGUUGGGAGGAAGGGUUGUAGAUUAAUACUCUGCAAUUUUGACGUUACCGACAGAAUAAGCACCGGCUAACUCUGUGCCAGCAGCCGCGGUAAUACAGAGGGUGCAAGCGUUAAUCGGAAUUACUGGGCGUAAAGCGCGCGUAGGUGGUUUGUUAAGUUGGAUGUGAAAUCCCCGGGCUCAACCUGGGAACUGCAUCCAAAACUGGCAAGCUAGAGUAUGGUAGAGGGUGGUGGAAUUUCCUGUGUAGCGGUGAAAUGCGUAGAUAUAGGAAGGAACACCAGUGGCGAAGGCGACCACCUGGACUGAUACUGACACUGAGGUGCGAAAGCGUGGGGAGCAAACAGGAUUAGAUACCCUG
This 411-nucleotide ribosomal RNA is filed under the name Pseudomonas koreensis. RNAcentral's name for it is "bacterial SSU rRNA". It matches the Rfam family "Bacterial small subunit ribosomal RNA", at positions 386 to 789 of the family's 1533-position model. Lineage: Bacteria; Pseudomonadati; Pseudomonadota; Gammaproteobacteria; Pseudomonadales; Pseudomonadaceae. The record is from RNAcentral.